RNAcentral lists this transfer RNA (73 nucleotides) under Desmophyllum pertusum. RNAcentral describes it as "Lophelia pertusa tRNA". It matches the Rfam family "tRNA". From Rfam's summary of the family: Transfer RNA (tRNA) molecules are approximately 80 nucleotides in length. Their secondary structure includes four short double-helical elements and three loops (D, anti-codon, and T loops). Lineage: Eukaryota; Metazoa; Cnidaria; Anthozoa; Scleractinia; Caryophylliidae. The record is from Rfam by way of RNAcentral.
GGCUUCAUACCUCAGUUUGUAGAGCAUCGCAUUAGUAACGUGGAGGUCAUGGUUUCAUCUCCCGUUGAAGCCU